UACGUAGGGGGCAAGCGUUAUCCGGAAUUACUGGGCGUAAAGCGCACGCAGGCGGUUCGCCAAGUUUGGAGUGACAGUUGUCGGCUCAACCGACAAAGGACUUCAAAAACUGGUGAACUUGAGGACGAGAGAGGAACAUGGAACUCCAGGUGUAGUAGUGAAAUGCGUAGAUAUCUGGAAGAACACCAAUGGCGAAGGCAAUGUUCUGGCUCGUUUCUGACGCUCAGGUGCGAAAGCCGGGGGAGCGAACGGG
Molecule: ribosomal RNA, 253 nt
Filed under: uncultured bacterium
Lineage: Bacteria
Description: partial 16S ribosomal RNA
Rfam family: Bacterial small subunit ribosomal RNA
Source: RNAcentral